RNAcentral lists this ribosomal RNA (1456 nucleotides) under Paenibacillus roseus. RNAcentral's name for it is "Bacterial small subunit ribosomal RNA". It matches the Rfam family "Bacterial small subunit ribosomal RNA". Lineage: Bacteria; Bacillati; Bacillota; Bacilli; Caryophanales; Paenibacillaceae. The record is from Rfam by way of RNAcentral.
AAUAGUAUGAGUUUGAUCCUGGCUCAGGAUGAACGCUAAUGGUAUGCUUAACACAUGCAAGUCGACUAAUAAAUUAAAUCUAUUAGUGGCGAACGGGUGAGUAACACGUAAGAAUCCUUCAUUUUGGAUUGGAAUAAGCUAAAGAAAUUUAGUCUAAUACCAAAUAAGGCUUUUUUAAACAAUAAAGAUAUACUUUUAUUUGAAGCUGAAACCAAAAAAUGGGCUUGCGGCUGAUUAGCUAGUUGGUAAGGUAAUAGCUUACCAAGGCGAUAAUCUGUAGCUGUUUUGAGAAAAAGACCGGCCACAUUGGGACUGAGACACGGCCCUAGCUCCUACGGGAGGCAGCAGUGAGGAAUAUUCCGCAAUGGGCGAAAGCCUGACGGAGCAAUACCAUAUGACUGAAGAAGGCAAAGUUGUAAAAGUCUGUUUUUAGGGAAGAAAAAAAUGACAUUAACUAAAAAUUAGUAUCGGCUAACUCUGUGCCAGCAGCCGCGGUAAUACAGAGGAUGCAAGCGUUAUCCGGUUUUAUUGGGCGUAAAGAGUCUGUAGGUUGUUUUUUAUAUCUUUUUUUAAAACUUAAAGCUCAACUUUAAGAAAAUUAAAGAUACUUUAGAACUUGAGACUAAUAGAGGCAAAGGGAAUUUCUAGUGGAGCGGUGGAAUGCAUAGAUAUUGGAAGGACCACCAAAGGCGAAGGCACUUUGCUGGGUUAGUUCUAACACUGAGAGACGAAAGCAAGGGUAGCGAAUAGGAUUAGAUACCCUAGUAGUCCUUGCUGUAAACGAUGGGGGCUAGAUGUUGGAAUUCAUUCAGUGUCUAAGUUAACACGCUAAGCCCCCCGCCUGGGGAGUACGGUCGCAAGGCUGAAACUUAAAGGAAUUGGCAGGAGCUUACACAAUUGGUGGAGCAUGUGGUUUAAUGCGAUGUUACACGCAGAACCUUACCGGGACUUGACAUGAUUAUCUACCUAUUUUGUAAUGAAAAUAGUAUAUUUCGAUAUUCACAGGUGGUGCAUGGUUGUCAAGUUCGUGUUGUGAAAUGUUGGGUUAAGUCCCGCAACGGACGGAACCCUAAUUUUUUAUUAUUUUAGUACAUAAAAAUUAAAAAUUUUAGGAUUUCGACAAAUCUUUAUGCUCCUUAUGUCCCGGGCUACACAUGUGCUACAAUGGUUGACACAAUAUAUUGGUAUUUUCAAAAUCAAUCAUAGUUUGGAUUAUAAACUGAAACUCGUUUAUAUGAAACCGGAAUCAAUAGUAAUCGCAGGUCAGCUAUACUGCGGUGAACCGUCACUGGGCUCGGUACAUACCGCCCGUCACACCCUGGAAAUUAAUCUUAUUCUUCGAUCGUUCUUCAAUAUUUGAAUAAAAUAAAAGAGACUUUCUAAAAUAAGGUUAUUGACUAAGGUGAAGUCGUAACAAGGUAGCCGUACUGGAAGGUGUGGCUGAUGAAUAGAAUAA